CAAAGAAGUACACAAACACCGCCGUUAUGGCAGGCAGCCCAACUUUGUUUCAUUGAUUUCAGACCUUUGCGCUCCUGUCGCCUUUGCGGAUUUGUAGGGUGGAAGAAAACACAGACAGUCGGACAUUCAUUUAUCCGAAGUGUGGAGAUUAAAAACGAAAACUAAAAAGUUUGAGAGUGAGAAAACUUUUAUCUGGAGUCAUGUGUCAACGUUAUGAGUGGAGACUAAAGAAAAGGGAGUCAGAGCCGGGAUGUUACUGCGUAAAAGUUCGCAAAAUGUGGGACCACCAACUGAUGGAAGGAGGCAGGGUGAGACGAUACGAGGUGAGAUUAACAAAAAGAGGAUCAAGUGCUAAGGGGGAAGGAGUGACAUCAGCGGUGACAUCAGAAGGGAGAAAGAUUUAUGGAGGGGGCUGGAGAAUAUCUCAGCUGUCGUGGGGGAAGAGGGAGGACACACCCUGGACAAGACGUCAGUCUGUCCCAGGCAGGCAACAGGCAACCAUUCAAUCCCACAACCAAUUUAGAAUCACCAAUUAAACUAACCCAUGCAUGUUUUUGGACUGUGGGAGGAUGCUGGAGUACCCAGAAAGAACCCACACAAGCACAGGCAGAACAUGCAAUCACCAAACAGAAAGGCCAGAGCCACGAAUUGAACCUAGGAUCUUUUUACUGUGAGGCAACAGUGCUAACCACCAUCACCACUGCACCAGCCCAACUAAACUCAUGACAGGAAGUAGCUCCCCCUAAUUUCUACCUAAUGCUUAAUUCAUGGUCACCACAUUGGUUGCUGCAUGUGCCAGCUGUGACAUCAUCACAGAAUCAUCACUAUUCAGUUGAUUCAUACUAAAUUUUUUGCAGUCUUCUGAGCGACAGGUGUCAAAGGAACAAGUGAAGAAACACUUUAUAAUAUGUAUGUGUCUAAGGGUGUACUUCCCCUGUUAUUGAAUGGAAUUUCAAAGUAUUUUAUCUGAAACUAAAAUGUAUAUAUAUUUACCUACAAAUACGUAAAGGUACCCCACAAUAAUAGGGUAAAGUAAAAGUAAAGUAAGACCGUUUAAAUAGUGUGUAAGUAAUUUUAAUUAAUUCAUUAGCAAUUUUACAUAGCUUCAGGUAUUUUACAAGAAAGAAGAAAUAAUUACAUUGAAGGUCAAUUUAGGUAAUGCAUAAAUAAUUAAAUAAGUGAAUAGGAAAGAAGUGCCUAAAUUCUGGCUACUUUACAGGAAAGGAGACACACACAAUACUAUAAGCAAUUUUAAGUAACUUCAUGUAUUUUACAGGAAAGAAAAAAUAAUUAGAUUGUAAGUAAUUUAGGUACUGCAUAAGUAUUUUUAAGUAGUACAUCUAGGUAUGGUGUAUAUUUGUCCAUGAUGGAUGUUAUAUUUUGAGGCCAACCAUCCAUUUAUAUUAAUAAUAUAAAUUUAACAAGGACUGUUCUCCCUUACAAAAAAUAAAUACUGUCAAUAUUUGCUGGCCUAUGUGGUCUUAUAAUAAUGGAGCCAAGCCUAACUGAAUUCUUUUUGCAGUCAUUGUUUAAAAAAUUACUUCUUAAAGAAGUGUUUCGGGAAAGAAGUGUCUGUUUUCCUGUAAAGUUACCUGUAAG
Molecule: long non-coding RNA, 1599 nt
Organism: Oreochromis aureus
Lineage: Eukaryota; Metazoa; Chordata; Actinopteri; Cichliformes; Cichlidae
Source: Ensembl